Molecule: long non-coding RNA, 1439 nt
Organism: Mytilus trossulus (common blue mussel)
Lineage: Eukaryota; Metazoa; Mollusca; Bivalvia; Mytilida; Mytilidae
Exons: 3
Source: RefSeq, a predicted model, not a curated record
GUCAGCGUUUUGAUUACAAUGGAAAGGUGUGCGACUAUGAUUGACUACCCAUCGACGGACCUCACUGUGGUUAACCUCGUGGCCCGGCUUCGUAGUAUAUAAGCCAUGUGGUUUCAGAAACAGCUGAUCCGGCCAAGAACUAGCUGAUCCAAUGCGAAACGACAGCUCGCAUAUAAAACAAAAGGACUUACAAUUUAAUGAACUGUUUGAAUUAAAUUAUACAAAAAGUGAUUAAACAUAAAAGAAAUGGAACUUAUCAAAUUUGUAACAUGUUGCUGUCUUGCUUCCAUCUUAUUGACAGAUGUCAUACUGGCAUCUCCAACUAGAUCACGUGACAUAAUUUCUGAAGCUGAACGUCUAGAAUAUGCAAUUGAAGAAGGUUUAUCAGUAUAUAGGACUGAAAAGAAAAGACGACGACGACACCGUCGCAGAACGAAUUUACUCAUUGAAGCAAUGCGAAUGUGCCGUAAUUUCCGACAUUACCCACGAGAAAGAAUACCUGAGCGAUGCAGGGACAUGAUUUUUAGGCAAGACGACCGUCGGAGGGGUCACAAUGGACCAACAAUUGUCAUUAUAGAAAAAUAGAUAAAUGCACUGACACUUUUUGGAAUAAACUCAGGAAUAUUAUACCAAGUCGGUAAAAAGGAACAAACAUCAAACAGUCGAAGAUUUUGCAUCGGAAUAUUACAAUGAGAAAAAGUGCGAAUAAAGCUGUAUUAUAACAAUGAUAUAUAGAACAAAACGUGGCAAAGGAACAAUACAUUUGUUUCAGUUCCUCUUGCUUGCAUGCCUGUAUGUAUGAAUGUAUUUUUUACGAAUGACUGCAGGAUCGAGAUUUCUCUAUUUUCUAAUGUCCUCUUGUCGGACUUACUUUUGGGCCCAAAGUAAGUUCAAUUAAAAAUUCACCAAGUGAUGAAAGAGUCUCGAUCAAUGUAUGAAUGGGUUUGAGUUGUUAUUUAUUAAGGAGCAGAGUUGAUACGAGCAUGUUAGUAUAAUGUUUCAGGAGUUGGUACAAGAGAUGUAGUGGUAUGAUGCAUGAAAUUGAUACAAAGAUUUGGUACAAAAAUGUUUGGAAUAUUAUACAUUAUUCCUUUAACGUAAAAUAAGUUAACCUAAAAAUCAUGACUUUUAAUUGCUGAUCUCAAUCAAUUUGAAUGAAAGAGAAGAUAAAAUGGUCAGAUUUCAAGGAUUGAGAAUAUUAUCUGGUAGUUGGUGCAAAUACGCACAUCAUUUUAUAUUCAUAAACUUUCUGUCUCUCUAAUGCAUUUUACAUCAAACAUUUGUGCAAUAUUUUUCUCAUGUAAACUUUUGAGGAGUGUAUUAUAUAAUUAUGAUUUCUGCAAUAUUUGCAGUGAUAAAAUGGCCAAAUUUUAUAGAUUAUUGAUAUUUUGAUAUCAAAAAUCAUAUUUAAUUUAUUAAUAAAAGUUUUUUGAAAACUG